Molecule: transfer RNA, 72 nt
Filed under: Shewanella morhuae
Lineage: Bacteria; Pseudomonadati; Pseudomonadota; Gammaproteobacteria; Alteromonadales; Shewanellaceae
Description: tRNA_Gln_TTG
Rfam family: tRNA
About the family: Transfer RNA (tRNA) molecules are approximately 80 nucleotides in length.
Source: RNAcentral
UGGGGUAUCGCCAAGUGGUAAGGCACUGGGUUUUGAUCUCAGCAUUCCAAGGUUCGAAUCCUUGUACCCCAG